Molecule: unclassified non-coding RNA, 312 nt
Filed under: uncultured Alternaria
Lineage: Eukaryota; Fungi; Ascomycota; Dothideomycetes; Pleosporales; Pleosporaceae
Description: sequence contains ITS1
Rfam family: 5.8S ribosomal RNA (bases 1-105)
Source: RNAcentral
GAAAUGCGAUAAGUAGUGUGAAUUGCAGAAUUCAGUGAAUCAUCGAAUCUUUGAACGCACAUUGCGCCCUUUGGUAUUCCAAAGGGCAUGCCUGUUCGAGCGUCAUUUGUACCCUCAAGCUUUGCUUGGUGUUGGGCGUCUUUUUGUCCCCCCCCUUGCGGGGAGACUCGCCUUAAAGUCAUUGGCAGCCGGCCUACUGGUUUCGGAGCGCAGCACAAGUCGCGCUCUCUUCCAGCCCCAAGGUCUAGCAUCCAACAAGCCUUUUUUUCAACUUUUGACCUCGGAUCAGGUAGGGAUACCCGCUGAACUUAA